AUGAACGCUAGCGAUAGGCUUAACACAUGCAAGUCGAGGGGUAACGUGUUGGAAGCUUGCUUCCGAUGACGACGACCGGCGGAUGGGUGCGUAACGCGUAUGCAACUUGCCUCACAGUGGAGAAUAACCCGGAGAAAUCCGGACUAAUACUCCAUACACUCUUAAGUACGCCUGUACAUGAGAGGAAAGAUUUAUCGCUGUGAGAUAGGCAUGCGUCCUAUUAGGUAGUUGGUGAGGUAACGGCUCACCAAGCCGACGAUAGGUAGGGGUGCUGAGAGGCAGAUCCCCCACAUUGGGACUGAGACACGGCCCAAACUCCUACGGGAGGCAGCAGUGAGGAAUAUUGGUCAAUGGAGGAAACUCUGAACCAGCCAAGUCGCGUGAAGGAAGAAUGUCCUAAGGAUUGUAAACUUCUUUAGCGAGCGAGUAAGGACUUCCACGUGAUGGGAGUUUGAAAGUAGCUCGAGAAUAAGUAUCGGCUAACUCCGUG
Molecule: ribosomal RNA, 490 nt
Filed under: uncultured bacterium
Lineage: Bacteria
Description: partial 16S ribosomal RNA
Rfam family: Bacterial small subunit ribosomal RNA
Source: RNAcentral